GGAAGGAUCAUUGAAUCUAUCACAAUCCACAACCCGCGAAAUAAUUUGUUGGCCUUUCCGUAUUCACGUACGGGAGUCAGGCUCUGCUGUACUUCGGUACGGGAGAGUUUGGGUCGCUGGCUCUCCCUCACGGGAGAGGCGGUGUCGGUCUUUUAACCAACCAACACCAAACCAAAAUUAAAUAAAAUCGAGUGUAUGGCUUAGAGCCGUCGCUCACUAACCAAGACAACUCUCAACAACGGAUAUCUUGGCUCAUCUAUCGAUGAAGAACGCAGCGAAAUGCGAUACGUAGUGUGAAUUGCAGAAAUACGUGAACCAUCGAAUUUUUGAACGCAAAUUGCGCUCGAGGCUUCGGCCAAGAGCAUGUCUGCCUCAGCGUCGGGUUAAUACUCGCCCUCCACACCCUUGGGUGUGUGAGAGCGGAACUGGCCGUCCCGGCAAGGUUUAAAACCCCUGCCGGGUCAGCUGAAGUGUAGAGGUUGAUGCAUGGACCCGUUAAGGGCCUCGACUGGGUAGGCAAUUCGUUGCUGAUGCUUUAGUUGAUGGCUUGGAUCUGUGCUUGUCGACCCGAACCAGGAACUCAGAUUUAUCUGAGCAAACCCCUAUUUUCUCGACCUGAGCUCAGGCAAGAACACCCGCUGAACUUAAGCAUAUCAAUAAGCGGAGGAAAAGAAACUAACAAGGAUUCCCCUAGUAACGGCGAGCGAACCGGGAAUAGCCCAACUUGAAAAUCUCCCUUUGGAGAAUUGUAGUCUAGAGAAGCGCCCUCAUGAACUGGUGGAGCUCAAGUCGGAUCGAAUGCCGCGUCAGAGAGGGUGAUAACCCCGUCGGCUCCUACCUAGUUCUUCCACGAGGUGCUUUCCACGAGUCGGGUUGUUUGGGAAUGCAGCCCUAAUUUGGAGGUAAAUCCCUUCUAAGGCUAAAUAUUGAGAUGAGACCGAUAGCGAACAAGUACCGUGAGGGAAAGAUGAAAAGAACUUUGAAAAGAGAGUUAAAAGUGCUUGAAAUUGUUGAGAGGGAAGCGCUAGACGCGUGUAGGUGCGCCCAGGCUUAAGCGGUCCUAACGGCCCGUUGAAUGUGCUGGGUGCUGGUCAGAGUGGGUUGGUUUGGCGGGAUAAAAGUCGGGUCCACCCAGGUAACCCGGCCGAUGCCGCCGAACCGACCAAGGCGUUAAGGGCGCUCUGUCCUUCGGGAUCUGCGUCCUAAAGACUCUGGCAGAAACGCGUCUAUCGACCCGUCUUGAAACACGGACCAAGGAGUCUAACAUGUAUGCGAGUUGGCGGGUGGAAAACCCGUAAGCGCAAGUAACCUGACUGGAGGGAUGGCCUGUGCCUGCACCUUCGACCGACCAUGUUGCUUUUGCGAAAGGUUUGAGUGCGAGCAUACCUGUUGGGACCCGAAAGAUGGUGAACUAUGCCUGAGCAGGGUGAAGCCAGAGGAAACUCUGGUGGAGGCUCGUAGAUGUGCUGACGUGCAAAUCGCUUUUCAGACUUGGGUAUAGGGGCGAAAGACUAAUCGAACCAUCUAGUAGCUGGUUCCCUC
This 1542-nucleotide unclassified non-coding RNA is filed under the name uncultured fungus. RNAcentral's name for it is "sequence contains 18S rRNA gene, ITS1, 5.8S rRNA gene, ITS2, 28S rRNA gene". The stretch from base 612 to 1542 matches the Rfam family "Eukaryotic large subunit ribosomal RNA", at positions 1 to 961 of the family's 3401-position model. The record is from RNAcentral. Lineage: Eukaryota; Fungi.